CCGGAAGUGCCUGUCGCUUGGAGACGGAGUGACUCCAAACGGGCUCACACGGUUUUCUGAGAAACAUAAAGGGAAACCGAAUCCACCAAUAUAUAUAUAUAUUUUCUUGAGACGGCGUCUCGCUCUGUCACCCAGGCUGGAGUGCAGUGGCGUGAUCUCGGCUCACUGCAAACUCCGCCUCCCGGGUUGACGCCAUUCUUCUGCCUCAGCCUCCCGAGUAGCUGGGACUACAGGCGCCCGCCGCCACGCCCGGCUAAUUUUUUUGUAUUUUAGUAGAGACGGGGAGUCACCGUGUUGCCCAGGCUGGUCGCGAACUCCUGAGCUCAGGCAAUCCGCCCGCCUUGGCCUCCCAAAGUGCUAGGAUUACAGGCGUGAGCCACCGCGCCCGGCCCACCAAUACUCAAUUGGUUUGACUUCAGUUGAGGAAACCAGAAAAAAUUUAAAUAUAUUUAUGGAAAGAAGCUAUUGGGAGAGUGGCUGAGUACUGAGUCUAUCACUACUUGGAUGAUACAGCUUCUGUCUUCAAGAUAAGCAGAAUUGUUCAGAAUCCACUGGAAUCCAAAUUCAACUUGGGCCUCAAUUUCUGCAGAUGGACACCUCUGGACUCCAAAAAAUCCAAGGACAUAAAAAACUUAAGCAGCCUUUAUUACAUUUAGUUCAACAAGUUUAAAGUAGUCUAAAACCAGCCUCUGCCUGAUCAAACUAGAAGGCCAGAAACAGAGGGCAGCUGAAGGAAACAGCUCACUCAAGAUGCCAACCAGGCCUCUGUUCAUGCCAUCAUGGAUAAGAUCUAUUUUUGAGGGUCUAAUUAAGUUAAGAACUAUAAUUGUAUGUAUGUUGGGAUUCCUUUUCCUUCUUGUCAAGGUACAGAUGGAGCAGAGCUAUCUUGUAUGUCAGUAGCCCCACUCAUGCAUUCUUUGUACUCAGACCUGCGUGACUUGAAAGCAUGAAGUAGCUAGAAUGGUCAUCACCCCACUUCCCUCAAGAUUGAGGAGUGCACAAAAAGGGGGGUACCUGUAACUGUGGGACCAGCUCAAACAAAUUAACCAUUUCUUAAGUUGUUGCAGGUACACACACAGCCAAAAUUGCCUUGGCACAUGCAAUGCAAAAAGCUUUAAUUUCUAAUUGUUAUCAUCACCAGCCUGACAGGCCUGCAUUGGCAUCAUCUGGGUCUAGCUGGAAAUGCCAUAAAAUCUUGACCCACCCCAAUCACAGAGACAGAUCUGAGCAUUGCCUCUUGUCUCCUUGCCAGUUGACUUGGUAUAAAGCUUUUUUUUUUUCUUCCUCAAAAGAGGGAACCAUAAUGUUGGCUUCUGUGCAUGUUGUAAAGUAAGCCUAUUGCUCAGUAACAAAUAUAUCUUUCCAUUUUUUCUUUUUUCUUUUUUUUUUUGAGAUGGAGUCUCGCUCUGUCACCCACGCUGGAGUACAGUGGCGCAAUCUCGGCUCACUGCAAGCUCUGCCUCCCGGGUUCACGCCAUUCUCCUGCCUCAGCCUCCCAAGUAGCUGGGACUAUAGGCGCCCGCCACCACUGCCAGCUAAUUUUUUGUAUUUUUAGUAGAGAUGGGGUUUCACCAUGUUAGCCAGGAUGGUCUCGAUCUCAUGACCUCGUGAUCCACCUGCUUCAGCCUCCCAAUGUUAGCCAGGAUGGUCUCGAUCUCAUGACCUCGUGAUCUACCUGCUUCGGCCUCCCAAAGUGCUGGGAUUACAGGCGUGAGCCACCAUGCCCG
Molecule: long non-coding RNA, 1727 nt
Filed under: Homo sapiens (human)
Lineage: Eukaryota; Metazoa; Chordata; Mammalia; Primates; Hominidae
Description: HSALNT0197908
Source: RNAcentral